GAAUGAGUGGAUGAAUUUGGAAUCUCUCUCUGUAUUACCAGGUUUACAAGAGUUGUCCUGGAUUUUAAAGAGAAUAAGAUUGUAAUGAGCUCAAGAUACCGCUUUAAUUACUAAAAGUACAGAAUUCAAUUAUAAUUGGAGAGGUAAAUGAUAAUUCAAUACAACACAAAAGCAAUUACAAGGGAGUUUUUGAUUAAUCACCAAAGGAACAACAAGGAUAGUAAAUAUUCUAGGAUUGCUGUGGAAGAGUUGUUAUUGUUUGCUUUUCCUUCAUUCUCAAAGAGGACCAUGACAUUACAGAAGUGAUGCUAUAAUAUGCAAGUGAAUUGGAUUUAAGUGAGGGAGGGCUGCGCAAGGCCACCUGCCUCACCUUCCCCUCCAGAACAACUGGGUUCAGUGGCAAGACAGAUCAAGAUGACUAGAGAUGACCCUGGAUGAAAUAUGAAACUGUGGCCUUUUCAUUCAGUGAUUAAGAUCAGGUAGCAUUUGAGGCAAAGAAUCUCCUCUUUCAUUUAGUCCAAAAAAAAUCUAACUGAAUGAAUGAAUGAAUCUCCAAGGAAGAAGACACUCAGGAUUUCUGGCCAAAGCAAAAAUGACUAUUAUUUACAUUGGAGCUCUUUGCAAAAUGGACUGACUAUCAGUAUCUAUUCUGACAUCAAAACUUGACCAUUUUUUUCCUGGGAUAAAAUUGCCUUCUAAAGACUGUAAGAUGUUACCAUCUUCCUUGCCACUGGUCCUCUGGAAGAGAAGCACCUUAACAAUUCCUGAGCCUCAAUUUGUCUUCUCUCUCCAUAAAAAGUCCAUCAGGAUAUUUCAAUCUAGCCUGCAGUUGAACCCUACAGAUUCAGGGCUAAAGUUUCCUCUGAACCAGCUAGCUCCUGGGUUCCCCAUUGCUAUUUCUGUAGAGGUAGGUCUACUUCAAGGUUAAAUCCAAAUCAAAGGGUCUUUCUUCAGAUCUUUUUGGACUGGAGGAUCCCUAUUCUUUCUCAAGUCUUAUUUAUUUAUCACUGGUCUAUGUUUGCCCUGAGGUGCAAUUUUGUUCUGUUUGUAGGAGAAAUCUGGAAAGCUUGAAAUUUUGUGACUUACUCUGCCAUCUGCCAUCUUAUCCUGAUGUGUAAGAUUGACAUCAGAAACUGGGU
Sarcophilus harrisii (Tasmanian devil) is the source of this 1139-nucleotide long non-coding RNA. NCBI's taxonomy places the organism in Eukaryota, Metazoa, Chordata, Mammalia, Dasyuromorphia, Dasyuridae. The record is from Ensembl.